CAAUAGCGUAUAUUAAAGUUGUUGCGGUUAAAAAGCUCGUAGUUGGAUUUCUGCUGAGGACGACCGGUCCGCCCUCUGGGUGAGUAUCUGGUUCGGCCUGGGCAUCUUCUUGGAGAGCGUAGCUGCACUUGACUGUGUGGUGCGGUAUCCAGGACUUUUACUUUGAGGAAAUUAGAGUGUUCAAAGCAGGCCUUUGCUCGAAUACAUUAGCAUGGAAUAAUAGAAUAGGACGUGUGGUUCUAUUUUGUUGGUUUCUAGGACCGCCGUAAUGAUUAAUAGGGAUAGUCGGGGGCGGUCAGUAUUCAGUCUGUCAGAGGUGAAAUUCUUGGAUUUGCUGAAGACUAACUACUGCGAAAGCAUUCGCCAAGGAUGUUUUUCAUUAAUCAGGGAACGAAAGUUAGGGGAUCGAAGAUGAUC
This 417-nucleotide ribosomal RNA is filed under the name uncultured eukaryote. RNAcentral describes it as "bacterial SSU rRNA". It matches the Rfam family "Eukaryotic small subunit ribosomal RNA", at positions 592 to 1009 of the family's 1831-position model. The record is from RNAcentral.